GCCCUGCCAGUGCUGAUGUGGAUGUAUAAAUAACAAAGGCUUCUCAUUAAAUAUCAGGUGCUGGGAACUUUCUUGUUGUGGUAUUGGAUCCAAUAUUGAUAUUUCUUUGUGGUCUUGGCAUUAGUGGUGCUGCAAUUGCUGCAGUGAUCUCUGAGUAUGUCAGGAAUGCGGUAAACUUGGUACUCUAUGUGUAUUUUGCACAUGUCCUUUAAUUCAUGUGAUCUUCUGCUUUUAACAGAACUUGUCUUUUUGUUCACCAGAUAUUUAAUAGCUUUCAUUCUUCUAUGGAAUUUGAGUGGCAAAGUUCUGCUAAUCCCUUUUGACUUUGAUGGGCAAAGUUUUUCAGCUAUCUGAAAUCUGGUACCUGCUUUUCAAUCUAG
This 380-nucleotide long non-coding RNA is filed under the name Medicago truncatula (barrel medic). RNAcentral describes it as "long non-coding RNA (MTRU_LNC007244)". The record is from RNAcentral. Lineage: Eukaryota; Viridiplantae; Streptophyta; Magnoliopsida; Fabales; Fabaceae.